GACGAACGCUGGCGGCGUGCCUAAUACAUGCAAGUUGAGCGCUGAAGGUUGGUACUUGUACCAACUGGAUGAGCAGCGAACGGGUGAGUAACGCGUGGGGAAUCUGCCUUUGAGCGGGGGACAACAUUUGGAAACGAAUGCUAAUACCGCAUAAAAACUUUAAACACAAGUUUUAAGUUUGAAAGAUGCAAUUGCAUCACUCAAAGAUGAUCCCGCGUUGUAUUAGCUAGUUGGUGAGGUAAAGGCUCACCAAGGCGAUGAUACAUAGCCGACCUGAGAGGGUGAUCGGCCACAGUGGGACUGAGACACGGCCCAAACUCCUACGGGAGGCAGCAGUAGGGAAUCUUCGGCAAUGGACGAAAGUCUGACCGAGCAACGCCGCGUGAGUGAAGAAGGUUGUCGGAUCGUAAAACUCUGUUGGUAGAGAAGAACGUUGGUGAGAGUGGAAAGCUCAUCAAGUGACGGUAACUACCCAGAAAGGGACGGCUAACUACGUG
RNAcentral lists this ribosomal RNA (497 nucleotides) under uncultured bacterium. RNAcentral describes it as "partial 16S ribosomal RNA". It matches the Rfam family "Bacterial small subunit ribosomal RNA", at positions 28 to 507 of the family's 1533-position model. The record is from RNAcentral.